UGCCAGCCGCCGCGGUAAUACGGAGGGUGCAAGCGUUAAUCGGAAUUACUGGGCGUAAAGCGCGCGUAGGUGGAUUGGUCAGUCAGAUGUGAAAGCCCCGGGCUCAACCUGGGAACUGCACCUGAUACUGCCAGUCUUGAGUACAGUAGAGGCCAGUGGAAUUUCCUGUGUAGCGGUGAAAUGCGUAGAUAUAGGAAGGAACACCAGUGGCGAAGGCGACUACCUGGACCGAUAUUGACACUGAGGUGCGAAAGCAUGGGGAGCGAACAGGAUUAGAUA
This 279-nucleotide ribosomal RNA is filed under the name uncultured bacterium. RNAcentral's name for it is "partial 16S ribosomal RNA". It matches the Rfam family "Bacterial small subunit ribosomal RNA", at positions 506 to 784 of the family's 1533-position model. The record is from RNAcentral.